GCUGGUGUAACUCAGUCGGUAGAGUAGUUGAUUUGUAAUCAACCUGUCGCAGGUUCAAAUCCUGUCACCAGCU
This 73-nucleotide transfer RNA is filed under the name Cyanobacteria bacterium UBA8543. RNAcentral describes it as "tRNA-Thr". It matches the Rfam family "tRNA". Rfam says of the family: Transfer RNA (tRNA) molecules are approximately 80 nucleotides in length. The record is from RNAcentral. Lineage: Bacteria; Bacillati; Cyanobacteriota. RNAcentral also lists the same sequence under 3 other names.